CCCUUGUGUGCAGGAGGGCUGUGUGUAGUUCUGCAUUCCCCUGCAGAAGAUGCAAGUUGAUAUAAGGCUAUCUGUGGGCUGUGGAGCUACAAGCUGGAAGCCAAAAGAGAGGAGAAUCAGAUGUGGAGCACCUAUUAAGUACAGCUAGACAAAUGCAAAUCAGAUAGGGCAAGUGGUGUUUAGCUGUCCAGGAAAAUAGUGAGCAAGACCUAAUGCAUUAUAGAAGAGGAGGAAGCAAUCUGAUGGCUUCUUGGCUAUGCACUUUUAAAUAAAAAGGAAACCAGAAUGAUGAAACUCUGCUGCAUGGAGGGCAUCUUUGUCACACACGUGGAAGGUCAACACAGUGGGGAGAUAAAGGGAUAUAUGCUGAAGGAACUGUGUAGAUGACAGUGACAGACAAGAAACCAGCAUCCAGUGAUUGAACUGAGCAUGAAAAGGCAACACAGGAGGUUUUGUCAAAGAGCAGAACACCGUGCAGAAAAGGGACUGCUCCUGCCUGCACAAGAACAGC
Long non-coding RNA from Gallus gallus (chicken), 511 nucleotides. The record is from Ensembl. Lineage: Eukaryota; Metazoa; Chordata; Aves; Galliformes; Phasianidae.